AAAGAUUAAGCCAUGCAUGUAUAAGUAUAAACGACUUGAUCGUGAAACCGCGAACGGCUCAUUAUAACAGCUAUAAUUUACUUGAUCUUGACAACCUACUUGGAUAACUGUGGUAAUUCUAGAGCUAAUACAUGCACCAAAGCUCCGACCGUAAGGGAAGAGCGCAUUUAUUAGAACAAAACCAAGCGGCUUCGGCCGUCCAAUGUUGACUCAGAAUAACUAAGCUGAUCGCAUGGUCUUGUACCGGCGACGUGUCUUUCAAGUAUCUGCCUUAUCAACUUUCGAUGGUAGUGUAUCUGACUACCAUGGUGAUGACGGGUAACGGAGGAUAAGGGUUCGACUCCGGAGAAGGGGCCUGAGAAAUGGCCACUACGUCUAAGGAUGGCAGCAGGCGCGCAAAUUACCCACUCUCAGAACGAGGAGGUAGUGACGAGAAAUAACGAGACCGUUCUCUUAAGAGGCCGGUCAUCGGAAUGGGUACAAUUUAAACCCUUUAACGAGUAUCUAUGAGAGGGCAAGUCUGGUGCCAGCAGCCGCGGUAAUUCCAGCUCUCAAAAUGCAUAGAAUUAUUGCUGCGGUUAAAAAGCUCGUAGUUGGAUCUGUGCUGGCCUCCCGGUCCACCUUCGGGUGUGCACUGGUGAGGUUGGCUUUCCUGCCCAUUUUUCGGUCAGUGCCUUUAACCGGGUGCUGGUCGUAGUGGGCAAGUUUACUUUGAACAAAUCAGAGUGCUCAAAACAGGCGUUUCGCUUGAAUGUUCGUGCAUGGAAUAAUAGAAGAGGAUUUCGGUUCUAUUUUAUUGGUUUUAUAGACUGAGAUAAUGGUUAACAGAGACAAACGGGGGCAUUCGUAUUGCUACGUGAGAGGUGAAAUUCUUGGACCGUAGCAAGACGAACUACAGCGAAAGCAUUUGCCAAGAAUG
RNAcentral lists this ribosomal RNA (919 nucleotides) under Sauertylenchus maximus. RNAcentral describes it as "SSU rRNA". It matches the Rfam family "Eukaryotic small subunit ribosomal RNA", at positions 39 to 966 of the family's 1831-position model. The record is from RNAcentral. Lineage: Eukaryota; Metazoa; Nematoda; Chromadorea; Rhabditida; Telotylenchidae.